Molecule: ribosomal RNA, 440 nt
Filed under: uncultured bacterium
Lineage: Bacteria
Description: partial 16S ribosomal RNA
Rfam family: Bacterial small subunit ribosomal RNA
Source: RNAcentral
CCUACGGGGGGCAGCAGUGGGGAAUAUUGCACAAUGGGGGAAAGCCUGAUGCAGCGACGCCGCGUGAGUGAAGAAGGAUUUCGGUAUGUAAAGCUCUGUCAGCAGGGAAGAAAAUGACGGUACCUGACCAAGAAGCCCCGGCUAACUACGUGCCAGCAGCCGCGGUAAUACGUAGGUGGCAAGCGUUAUCCGGAUUUACUGGGGGUAAAGGGCGGGUAGACGGGAGGGUAAGUCUGGAGUGAAAGGCAUGGGCUCAACCCCCAGUCUGCUCUGGAAACUGCCAGGCUGGAGUGUAGGAGAGGUAAGUGGAAUUCCUAGUGUAGCGGUGAAAUGCGUAGAUAUUAGGAGGAACACCAGUGGCGAAGGCGGCUUACUGGACUGUAACUGACGUUGAGGCGCGAAAGCGUGGGGAGCAAACAGGAUUAGAUACCCGGGUGGUC